This 217-nucleotide long non-coding RNA is filed under the name Manihot esculenta (cassava). RNAcentral describes it as "long non-coding RNA (MESC_LNC013014)". Lineage: Eukaryota; Viridiplantae; Streptophyta; Magnoliopsida; Malpighiales; Euphorbiaceae. The record is from RNAcentral.
AUGGUUCAUGUGGGCACACAUGAACCCGCAUCACACAUCAUAGCAUAUCAUUAAUGCACAUGCAUAUAAUCAUGGCAUUUCACAUCAUCAUGUAAGACAGGACUCCACAUCCUAUCCUAGUGGACAUGAUCUUCCUAUUGUGCUUGACCUUCUAUAACAUCUAUGAGCCCGACACUCUAGGUCCGACCAUAUGAACCUAGGGCUCUGAUACCAUUCU